CGACGCCGCGUGUGCGAUGGAAGUCCUUCGGGUAUGUAAAGCUACUGUCGGAGGGGAAGCAAAAAAGACGGUACCCUCCAAGAAAGCCCCGGCUAACUACGUGC
RNAcentral lists this ribosomal RNA (104 nucleotides) under uncultured bacterium. Its description in RNAcentral is "partial 16S ribosomal RNA". The record is from RNAcentral.